This is a small nuclear RNA of Dermacentor silvarum, 183 nucleotides long. RefSeq annotates it as U2 spliceosomal RNA. The record is from RefSeq and is a predicted model, not a curated record. The transcript has a single exon. NCBI's taxonomy places the organism in Eukaryota, Metazoa, Arthropoda, Arachnida, Ixodida, Ixodidae.
AUAGCCGACGCGGCUCUAAGUGUAGUAUCUGUUCUUAUCAGCUUAAUAUACGAUACGGAUUGUAUUUAGAGCCAAGAUAUUAAACUAAUUUGUGCAAGUUCGCGGAGUGCUUGAAGCCUGCUUCACCUCCACCGCGCGUCGGCCUGGUAUUGCAAUAUAUUCGGGAUUUUUGGUCCACGGACA